Long non-coding RNA from Hipposideros armiger (great roundleaf bat), 2609 nucleotides. RefSeq lists it as uncharacterized. NCBI's taxonomy places the organism in Eukaryota, Metazoa, Chordata, Mammalia, Chiroptera, Hipposideridae. The transcript is spliced from 5 exons. The record is from RefSeq and is a predicted model, not a curated record.
CUCUACCUUAGGUCGCAACUAGAAGAAAACCCCUGUUUUCUACUUUAAUGGGGUCUCCAGAUACAAACCAGGGGCCUGCCUCUCAGCAGCAAGUCUCGGUCGGAAGAGGCUGACCCCAGCUCCGGGCUGCACGCCGACGCCUCUUUCGUGGAGCCCGCCUGGGUGCGGGCUCAAGGCUGCUGGCGGAUGGCCUGUCCCGCCUCUCUGCUCUUCUCCCGAGGCUGGGGAAAGAUAAGAACUCUGGGAGGCCCCACACUUGAAAACCUCGUGGAGACCCUCCCAAUAUUCUCUUCAAAAUGAAAAUAACACUAACUUUCAAAAUAAGAGAAUGAAAACACGACAUUCAGAUCUUUCUCCUUGGCGACUCCAUGGAUAUUUUUAAUUCAAAGGCAAAUUUGUGGGCGUCCCAGCCUUGCCCCUGCCUGAGGUCCCCCAGGGUCCCUCCGCCCCAGGUCUGUCUGCCAGAGGCGUCAGUCGUCCAGCACCGCCGCUGGCACCCGCGCGUGCAGCCUCGGUGCCCAAAUCUAUUUAUUCCCCAGGAUGUUCUUUGUGUUUCUAAUUCUCCUGGGGGCCGUUCUUUUUUCUUUCAGUUGUCAGCGAAACAGCCGGAUCUAUAGAGGUUGUAGCCACCGCCUCGUCCACAGCCUCUGGAGUCACACAACCUAUGCCAAACGGACCUUGGCGCCCAAGUCACCAAAACCACCGCAAGCAACGGAGGUCGGGAGCCUCGGUGGCUGCUGCUGCGCCGUAUUCCCGGGUGACUUUGUGGAGGCGCACAGAUGGGGGAUGCCUCUAGCUGGCACUCAGGGCCAGCUGAUAAAUCGUCUCAUUUCCCGACUUGAUGGGCCGUGACCUGGGCUGGCCGAGCUGGCGGGAAGGCGGGGGAGGGGGACGCAUUGGCCAGGUGGGAGUCUCUGGGUGCUGGAUUUUGGUUGAGCAAGGGUUCGGUGUACAUAUCUCAGGGAAAGACCACGAAUGCCCACACCUCCACAAGCGGAAAUCCCUUCCCCGGUUUUCUGUUACGGCCACCAAGCCACGUCCUGGUCCCCGAGGACUGCGGGGCUUUGAGUGCGGCAGCAGCGCACACGGGCUCCAGGCGCCGCACCACCUCCUCUCCCUGGGGCCCCAGCGCUCGCCCGCGCAGUGCUGCCCACACCUACCCCGGAAAGGCUACGGAGGACAUGACUCGGCCUACUGUGCCUGGAAAGGUCCCUAGGCGUUCGUGAAAGCCGCAGUGCAGAGGGGUGGGGAAACGCCUCCAUUCUGGGUCCAUCCAAGCUUCCUAGAAAUUUACUUCAGGUCUCGGGAACUCGCACUCCAACUCUGCUCCAGGUGUCCAUCCUUGGCUGGGCUUUGGAGGACGCAAAAGAGAUCAGUACUUUGAGUAUACAACCCAGAGGGACCUUCGCCACAACAUCGCAAAGCAGCAGUGUCUACAUGCCAGUGCUGGCACUCUAGGCCUUAGGAGCUGUCACUUCACUGGCAAAAACAGCCAAGUCCCCAAGGACGAGGAAUGGGAAUUGACCCGAUAAUUAUGCCUCUUAGCUGGUUCCCACUUAACAACAGCAUUCAGAGUCUGCUGUGAUAUGUCAUUUUCAUUGACGCAUAUGAAGAAACUGGUUUCCCACACAGAUGGACUUGAGACAAGAGAACUUCACAGACCCUCUGAAAGGCUCUUGAGGACAUGCUGGUCCACAAAGGGGUCCUUGGUACACAGUUUGAGAACCAAUUCUAUAGACUAGUUUGAUUAUACCAGAAGGUUCCCACAGAGGGAACUGCUAUUCUGUCACUCUCCUUCAAGAUUAGCAUUGCCUUUUCUAGAUCUUCAUAUACAUGGAAUCAUAAGGUAAGCGCUUUUGUGCAUUCCAUUGUGCAGAUAUACCACAUUUUAUUGAUCCAUUCUAUUGGUGCACAUUUGAAUUGUUUUUUGUUUUUUGCUACUAUGAAUGGAGAACAUAUUUUUUGGUGAACACCUGCACUCAUUUCUCCUAGAAUUGUUGGUAAGUGAGCAGACAGAUGUUUAGCUUAACAGACUUUCAAGCCAUAGAACACAUUUUUAAUUGUUGAAUUUUUUUCAACAUAUAUUAUUUAGCAUAAAUUUCACAUUUCUCUUAUUAAUAUGUAAUAUAUGCCUGUAUAUUUGCUCUUUAUAAAUGUUGCUUUAAAAUCAAUGUAAUUUAGCAAUACUAUAUAUUUCCAUUACUAGAUUACUAAAUAAAAAAAAACUUGUUUUUUUAUGUUUGGGAUCAUUCAAUGGAAGAGAAAUCUAUGUCCUACUCUCAUUAGUGAUUCCAGUGGCUUUUUUUUUUAAGUGCAGUCUUUGGAGCUCUGAGAGGACACUUUUAUCAUCUUCAUAUUCCCAAGGCUUAGCUGUAUCAGUUAGCUGUUUCCACAUAACAAACCAUCCUAAAAGUUAGUGACUCAAAAUAACAUACAUUUACUAUAUCUCAUGAGUUUAUAGGUUGGCUGGGUGGUUCCACUGGUUUGGGAAAGGUUGGGUUGGUCUUAGAUGCAUGUUAACGCAUUAGCUGUCAGCAGGUAGGAUGGUUGAAAUGACUCAACAUUCCACGAGCCUCCGCCAUCUACCAGCUGGCCAGCCUGCACUUGUU